GAUGAACGCUAGCGGUGUGCCUAAUGCAUGCAAGUCGAACGGGAUCCUUUGGAUUCGUCUGAAGGUGAGAGUGGCGAACGGGUGAGUAACACGUAGGUGACCUGCCCCGGAGAGGGGGACAACCACUGGAAACGGUGGCUAAUACCCCAGAUGUUAUUGCGCUUAGAAAGCAAUUACUAAAGUUCCGGCGCUCCGGGAGGGGCCUGCGGCCCAUCAGCUUGUUGGUAAGGUAAUGGCUUACCAAGGCUAAGACGGGUAGGGGGCGUGAGAGCGUGACCCCCCACACUGGUACUGAGACACGGACCAGAUACCUGCGGGUAGCAGCAGCAAGGAAUAUUGCCCAAUGGACGAAAGUCUGAGGCAGCAACACCGCGUGGAGGAUGAAGGCCUUCGGUU
RNAcentral lists this ribosomal RNA (396 nucleotides) under uncultured bacterium. RNAcentral describes it as "bacterial SSU rRNA". It matches the Rfam family "Bacterial small subunit ribosomal RNA", at positions 28 to 423 of the family's 1533-position model. The record is from RNAcentral.